UCGCCCAAGAGAUCGGGAUAACACCUGGAAACAAGAUGCUAAUACCGGAUAACAACAGAUGAUGCCUAUCAACUGUUUAAAAGAUGGUUCUGCUAUCACUCUUGGAUGGACCUGCGGUGCAUUAGCUAGUUGGUAGGGUAACGGCCUACCAAGGCGAUGAUGCAUAGCCGAGUUGAGAGACUGAUCGGCCACAUUGGGACUGAGACACGGCCCAAACUCCUACGGGAGGCAGCAGCU
RNAcentral lists this ribosomal RNA (237 nucleotides) under uncultured Lactobacillus sp. RNAcentral's name for it is "partial 16S ribosomal RNA". It matches the Rfam family "Bacterial small subunit ribosomal RNA", at positions 126 to 355 of the family's 1533-position model. The record is from RNAcentral. Lineage: Bacteria; Bacillati; Bacillota; Bacilli; Lactobacillales; Lactobacillaceae.